Molecule: long non-coding RNA, 3357 nt
Filed under: Prunus dulcis (almond)
Lineage: Eukaryota; Viridiplantae; Streptophyta; Magnoliopsida; Rosales; Rosaceae
Description: sRNA ncRNA
Source: RNAcentral
CUCAUUUCCCAUUUCAAUCAACAUCUAACAAUCCAACCUUCUCUGCUACAAAGAAAACACCUUAAACUUCUGAUAUCAAGAAACAAAAAUGGCAUUCAACACGAAGCUACUUUUGGCCAUCUGCUGUGUCGUAUUAGUCUUCACUCUUGUCUCUGCAAACAUUUCCCAAGCAGAGAUCGAUGGCUUCCUCGAGGAGCACAACAAGGCUCGUAAAGAGGUCGGCAACAAACCCCUUAAGUGGAACACAACCUUGGCCCAGUAUGCCCAAGAAUAUGCCAACAAAAGAGUUGAUGACUGCGCUAUGGAGCACUCAAGGGGGCGUUGGGGUGAGAACUUGACCUCGGGCGACGGCAUGACCGGCGCAGCUGGCACUAAAUAUUGGGUCACCGAGAAAGAGUUCUAUGACCCCAAGUCCAACAAAUGUGUCAAAGAGGAAUGUGGUCACUACCUUGCUGUGAUCUGGGGCAAAACCACCGAGGUCGGAUGUGGCAUUUCAAAGUGCAAGGAUGGAAAGAACUACAUCGUUUGCAGCUACGAUCCCAUGUACCAGCCCGAGGACGAGCGCCCAUACUAAAUGAUGUAUGUACGCACACUUACAUGAGGCCUGUUGAGAGGUCCCGUGUUUUUUUUUCUUUUGCGAGCUCCCGUACUUGAUAUGGUAUUGUGAGACAAGAGAAUGGAUAAAAAAUGAAAAGGAUAAUAUUAUUUCAUUUUUUUUGUAAUUUCUAACUAAAUAUUAUCUCAUUCUCUCUAUGUUUUUUUUAUUUUUGCUCAAUCUCAAUUGUCUAAUGCCUCCCCAUCUCGUAUUUGUCUUUAAUUCUUUUGAAAAAAUAUGACAAAUGUGAUAUCAAAAGGAUGUUAAGUGUAUGUUUGGUAUUUUAUUUGAAUUCAACUUUUUAAACUUAAAAAAAAUAAAUUGAGUCCAAAUUUCAAAAAAUAUGUUUGGUAGACCUAAUUACUCAAAACCACACAAAUACUUAAAACCCAAACAAAUCGCUUUUUUAAGAAUUUUUAUGACAAAUUGUUUUUAAUCUUAAAGUAUGGAUUUUAGAACUCCUUGUUUUUGAAGUUUGAGUUCCCUCCUUGAAUACCGAAAAAGUUUUUGAAUCUUAAAAGUUUGAUUUUAGAACUCUUUGUUUUUACGAAAAAUUAAAGUUUUUGAAUUUCAUACUUGAAUAGAUACCAAUAGCCACCUAAGAUUUUCUUGUUCGUGGAUGCACGUGUUUGCAUGCACUGUUUCUUUAUGUAUAUAUGAGAUUUUUUGAACUGAUAUUUGUAGACCAAUUUGAUUGUGGGUUGUAUCAUAACUAGGGACGGUCCUUAGUAAAGAUUAACUUGGGCUAUAGCCCAUGUGUGGUUUUUUUUCUUAGCCCAACAUUUAUAAUACAAGCCACCGAAGCCUACACAUAAUACUUGUUUACACAUAAUUCACGUAAGGUAAAUUUAGUCCAUCUCAUUAUCUAUAUAUAUAAAGUAAAUGGCAGAGAAUGGUGAAACAUUCAAAAUACCAUAAAAUACCUUUAGUUAAUUGAAACAUUAAGAAUUGAAAUUAUUAAUUAAAUAAGGAUAAUAUGGUAAAUUCACAUUUUUUAUAUUAAAAAAAUUAAAAUUAAAAACAAUAUCAUAUAAUAUGUCCUACUUUUGUGGAGCAUAACUAUCCAUGUUAUUUUUUUAUUUUAAAAAUAAAAUAAAAAAUAAAAAAUAAAACCAAUUGAUACAUGGGUGAGCAUAUGCCCAGAGGCUAGUAAAUAUAAUAAAUCUUAUACGAUAUCUUAUACCAUUUCAAGUCAGAUUAAAACUUCAUAUGAUUGGAAGCUAAAGUAUAAUAGAACACUUGUGGUAAAGGUUGAAAUGUCACCUAACUUUUUAUUCAAGAUCUCAAAGAAUUUUUGGAUUAAAACACUUGGCCAAGAUAGUGGGUGCAGUGAUUAGAGGUAGGAACUUGGAUUGCUUUAUAUCAUUAUAGAUUUUGAAAAUUUGAAUGUGUUGGUUGUAAAUAUAUGUCAUCAAUUAUGUCUAUGUUUUUUUUUCGUCUUCAAGUGAGGGAAGAAUCAAAUUUAAGACUUCUUAUAUUGGAAAGAAAAAUACAACUAGACAAAAACCUAACUAGUUUACCCAAAAUUUUAAUAAGGGACUAAUUAUCCGUUACUUUGGUAAGAAACAUAAGGCUAAACAACCGUCACUACUAGAAAACGGACUUAUAAGCCACAUAUUACCGGUGGCUUAUAAUCAUUUUGACCACAGCCAAUUCGUGGCCAAAGGGUGUUAGCCACAGAUAGGCCUCAUCAUUUGGUCUGUGGGCUCAUGGGUCGAUGGGGGCCCACCCGGCCCAUCGAAAAAAAAGUCCGGCCCUACUCGUUAUCGGCUUUGAGAUGGCCCGACCAGCCUUGGGCUGGGCUUGGCUUGGGCUUGGGUGUCUAAAGCCUAGCCCAGCCCGAUUAAGCCUAAGAUAGCCCGGCCCAUUAGGGCCGGAUACAUAUAUAAUUAUGUAUAAAUAAGAGUUUAGGUUUAUGAUUAUAUCACUUAAAUCACAUAUAUAAUUUGUUUCAUUUCAUUUACUUUUCUUUACCCAUGCCUAGUUUAUAAUUGGAUGAUUAGUACAUUAAUUUGUGUCAAUUAUUAAUUCAACAAUUAUAUAUAUAUAAAGGACAAACUUUAAACUUCUCAUAUCAAGAAACAAAAAUAGCGCUCAACAUGAAGCUUCUUUUGGCCAUCUGUUGCGUCGCAUUGGUCUUCACUGUUGUCUCUGCAAACAUUUCCAAAGUAGAGAUCAAUGGCUUCGAUGAGGAGCACAACAAGGCUCGUAAAGAGGUCGGCAACAAACCCCUCAAGUGGAACACGACCUUAGCCCAGUAUGCCCAAGAAUAUGCCGAGAAAAGAGUUGACGAUUGUGCCAUGGAGCACUUGAUUGGGCGUUGGGGUGAGAACUUGGCCUCUGGCAACCGCAUGAGCGGUGCAGCUGCUACCAAGUAUUGGGUCACCGAGAAGGAGUUCUAUGACGAAAAGUCGAACAAAUGCGUCAAAGACGAAUGUGGUCACUACCUUGCUGUGGUCUGGGGCAAAAUCACCGAGGUCGGAUGUGGCAUUUCAAAGUGCAAGAAUGGACAAAACUACGUAGUUUGCAGCUACGAUCCCAUGUACCAGCCCGAGGACGAGCGCCCCUACUAGAUGAUGUAUGUACGCUCACGUGCGCGUAACCACACCAACAUUAGGCAUGUUGAGAGGUCCCGUGUUUUUUUUUUUCUUUUAUUGAAAUUAGAAAAAUUAAAUGUAACGAAUGUAUACAAAUACUUCCCCACACUCACAACAUUUUUUUACGCGACUAGCACUUCAUAUGGUAUUGUGAGAGGUGACAAG